This 211-nucleotide ribosomal RNA is filed under the name Malassezia pachydermatis. Its description in RNAcentral is "partial large subunit ribosomal RNA". The record is from RNAcentral. Lineage: Eukaryota; Fungi; Basidiomycota; Malasseziomycetes; Malasseziales; Malasseziaceae.
GUGAAAUUGUCGAAAGGGAAGCGCUUGAAGUCAGCCAUGCUGCUUGAGACUCAGCCUUGCUUUUGCUUGGUGUAUUUCUCGGUAGCAAGCCAGCAUUGGUUCGAGUCGUCGGAGAAGGGUAUGAGAAAUGUGGCAUCCUCGGAUGUGUUAUAGACUUGUACUGGAUACGACGAUUUGGAUCAAGGAACGCAGUGUGCCUCUGGCGGGUCUU